RNAcentral lists this long non-coding RNA (864 nucleotides) under Struthio camelus australis. RNAcentral's name for it is "lncRNA (ENSSCUG00000005614.1)". Lineage: Eukaryota; Metazoa; Chordata; Aves; Struthioniformes; Struthionidae. The record is from RNAcentral.
AUUUCAUGGUUUGAAUGUUACUUUCUGUGUAUGCAUCUUAUCCGUACCUCAACUUUCUUUUCUUCAGAAUCUGUUUAUUUCUGGCAAAAACUGGAAUUUCUUCAAGAAGAGGAUAAAAGCUCCUGUCACUUUGUCCUCCAUUUCAAACCCCAUAUUGUGUCUAAGGAGUUUUGCGUCAUUCUGAUGCCCACAGGAGCAACAUCGCAAGAGACCGCAAGCGUUAGUGAACAACAUAAUAUCAGGCCUAAGGCUUGGACUACUUUUACAAAGGCUUAGAAGGCAUCUGAAUGCAAUUCCUGAGAAAGUCCUAUUACAAGGACUCAGUGGGAAUAUCUUCUCCUUGUGCCUUUCCAAGAAGAAAACUCAGCUCAUCAGUAGAUCCCUACCAUGUCGAAGCGCCUAUGUCCUGUUUUACAUGCAUCCUGGGAUUUAAUGUUUCUCACUAGCUAGCUGAAAGCAUGUACUUGCUCUAGGUUUUCUGGACCCACUGGAUUUUUAAUCUCUGCUCUGUGAAGCAGCUAUCUUCUGUGUUGGGCAUUGCAGUGCCUAAUUUGCGAACAUAUAAGUCCUUUAUUGCUUUUAGCCCUCAGUUUAAUUUACAGUCAGCAGUUCACCUCUUAAUUUCUGCAGUUUGCUCAAAUCUAGAUGAUUAUCUACCCCUAUAAUUAUAGUGGUGAGCAGUGUGUUAGUACCUUACACGUGCAUUCCUCAUCACUCAUAGCAAUACUUUUCUCUUCCACUCUAGUAAAAAGGGGCUAAAUGUCACAUGCGUUCCUGCUCACUCAUAGGAAUAUUCUUCUCUUCUAGUAAAAAGGGGCCAAAUUUCACCAUUGGUGUUACUAAAAUUGCUUUUAUAAAUCUAAC